GACGAACGCUGGCGGCGUGCUUAACACAUGCAAGUCGUACGGUAAGGCCCUUUCGGGGGUACACGAGUGGCGGACGGGUGCGUAACACGUGAGUAACCUGCCCACAACUUUUGGAUAACGCUAGGAAACUGGUGCUAAUACUGGAUAUGUGCUCCUGCUGCAUGGUGGGGGUUGGAAAGCUCCGGCGGUUGUGGAUGGACUCGCGGCCUAUCAGCUUGUUGGUGGGGUAGUGGCCUACCAAGGCGGCGACGGGUAGCCGGCCUGAGAGGGUGACCGGCCACAUUGGGACUGAGGUACGGCCCAGACGCCUACGGGAGGCAGCAGUGGGGAAUAUUGCACAAUGGGCGCAAGCCUGAUGCAGCAACGCCGCGUGCGGGAUGACGGCCUUCGGGUUGUAAACCGCUUUCAGCAGGGACGAAGCUUUUUGUGACGGUACCUGCAGAAGAAGCACCGGCUAACUACGUG
This 465-nucleotide ribosomal RNA is filed under the name uncultured bacterium. RNAcentral's name for it is "partial 16S ribosomal RNA". It matches the Rfam family "Bacterial small subunit ribosomal RNA", at positions 28 to 507 of the family's 1533-position model. The record is from RNAcentral.